This is a long non-coding RNA of Lagenorhynchus albirostris (white-beaked dolphin), 5404 nucleotides long. RefSeq lists it as uncharacterized. NCBI's taxonomy places the organism in Eukaryota, Metazoa, Chordata, Mammalia, Artiodactyla, Delphinidae. The record is from RefSeq and is a predicted model, not a curated record. The transcript has 3 exons.
GGUCCCAGCCGCUCCGCAGCAUGUGGGAUCUUCCUGGACCGGGGCACGAACCCGUGUCCCCUGCAUUGGCAGGCGGACUCUCAACCACUGCGCCACCAGGGAAGCCCAGUGUCUCAAUUUUAAAUAAAAUUUAAAUAGUUUCUGAAACUUUAAUGAAAUGUUAUUAAAUGGUUUUAUAAAUAAAACUCCUUGCAAUUUUAAUGUUCAACGUCCAUCUUUCUGAUAAGGUAAAGAAUCAGUAACAAUUCACACGUUACUUGUUAUUUCUACAACUAUUUAUACACAACUGUAAGAGUAAUAAUAAGUUACUUAAUAUUGCAAAGUGUUGAACUUUAUGUACCUGUUGUGAAUACCUUACUAUUUGUGAAUCAUUAUGUCAUUUUAAAAUUUAGUCUUAUUUAGUCUCUUUAGAACAGCUCUGCCACCUUUCCUCCUUGACAUUGCCAUUGGAAGAAACCAGAUCACUUGUCUAGUAAGAUGUCCCACAUUCUUGAUUUGUCUGAUUGUUUAACUUGUUCUUUUAACUCCCAUAUUCCUAUUAACUGGAGGUUUAGCCCAAAGGUUUGGCUGGAAACAUGGUAAACAUUUCUUGGCAAGAAUGCUUCAUGGUUAAUGCUGUACAUUUAAUAUUGCAUCCCAUCAGUGAGUACAAAGUGUCAAGUUUGUCACUUGGCUAAGAUGAUAAUGCCAGCUCAAUCAGUUGUAAGAUAUGUUUUUCCUUUACAAUAAGCAAGUAAUCUGUGGGGUGAUAUUUGGUUCUGUGCCAAUAUCAUCUUCAAAAACCUUUACCCAAUGGUUUUAACAUCCUGUCGGAAUUAAUUAUUUCAAUAAGAACUGCAAAAAGAUUUUUCCAAUUAAGUAAUUCCUCCUACAUUUAUUAGCUGGCAUUUUUCUCUAAAGAAGAAUUUUCCCUCAUCAACAGGAGAUAAAUAAUAGUUCUUCCCCAAAGGCAGGAUAAAUGUUUAAUUCUUUACAGAGUGAAGAAAUGUUUACCUAUAAGGGAUGAAGAGGCCAUGGGAACAGGAGAAGGAUGGGAGCAAGACUUCUCUGAGUAUAAUUUUUUUUCUUUUUUUUAACCAUUUAAAAAAAUUAAAGUAUAGUACAAUGUUAUGUUAGUUUCAGGUGUAUAGCAAAGUGAUUGAAUUAUACAUAUGUAUAUAUGAGUAUAAUUCUUAUAGUUUUGAUUUUCUCUUACUAAUGUGUUUUAUAUAUUCAAAAUUAAGUUUAGAAGGAAUAUAAAAUGUAAAUAUCCAAAUUUAACUCCAACAAUCAAAAGGCCUAUUUUUAUUUCAUUUUGGUAGGAUCUAUACAGAGAAUAUAAUUAUUCCAAUGAAUGUUGAAUAUAAUACUCCAUUUGUACUUCCUUAAUAGGAUACAUUCUAAGGACGAAAAGAACUGCAAAGAAAUCUUGAAACUUCACUGGUAAUUUUAUUGCUGAUACGAAUAGAAUUAUGAGGACCCAAGACUUUCACUGCCAGAGAAAAGAUACACAAAUAUAAACCCAGAAGUUCAUAAAAAUCCCUGUAAUAUCAAAUAUGAUUAUAAAUAUUAAUAUGAACUCAUUUAAAAAUAUUUAAGAACAUUUCCUAGUUUUGUCCAUGGAAAGAACAUAGAAUUAAUGAUGCCCCAACUGGUAAAAAUAAGAUUCCCAGGUAUAUAUGAUCUCACUCACAAAAUUGGCACUCUAUGGCAAAACUGCAAAGCUGGUUAAAUCCAGUGCUGUACCCCUCAGGUGCCUGCACCUAUGAAGAUGGACUUACCUGGAGAAAAACACACCACACUAACUGAAUUCAUCACCCUAACCUGAAGUGGGCCUCAAUGAUACCUCACGGUUGAAGUAUAGAUUCUUGGUCCAUUCACUGUGCUACUCUUUGGAUUAUUUCACACUUCUCUUUUCCCCUAUUUCCAAGUCACUUCCUCUAUCCUCACUCUGCCAGUUUUGCUUCCUAAUUCUCUGAGAAGAUGGAAACAAUCAGAAAAGAACUUCCUAGGCUCUCAUCACAUCUACACUAUACAAUCCAAACCAUCACUCACAUGUAGUCUAGCAUCUUUCCUGCUGUUAUAGAACCUCCCUUUCCUCCACAUAGGGAGAACAUCUCAUCCUCUCCCACCUUGCAUAGGGACAUUACGCCAGCAUUCUCCCUCCAUCACCAUUGUCCCUCGCUACUUAAUUAUUCCUAUGAGCAUAUACAUAUGUUAUUUCCCCAUCCUUUAGGAAACUUCUCCUAACCCCACAUUCUCUGCCAGCUACUGCCUUGAUUCUCUGCUUGGCAGAAAAACUCCUCAAAAGAGUUAUCUGUAUGUUCCAUAGGGCCCAUGAAACCACCGUCCAUAUAAAUUUAUGGAAUAUUUUAUCUCUCCAGAAGGUUUCCUCAUGCCCCUCCCUAGUCAACACACCCUCAAAAGGUAAUCACUAUUCUGACUUCCAUCAUUAUUUGUUUUGCCUAAACUACAUAUAAAUGCAUCAUCAGUAUGUACUGUUGUGACUACUUUCACUUAAUAUAAUGUCUGUAAUAUUCAUCUGUUUUGUUGCAAGUAUCAGUAGCUUUUUUUUUAAUUAAAUUACUAAGUAGUAUUCCAUUGAAUAGCUUCUUUUGUGACAGACCUCUUCAGGAAUUUCGCUCAUUUUAAAAAGUUGGAUUAUUGUCAUUUUCUUACUGAUUUAGAGAUGUUGGACGUACGUGUCAUGAAGAUCCUUAAGUCUGUGAUUUGCCUUUUUACCUGCUUAAUUGUGUCUUUUGAUGGGUAUGGUUCUUAAUUUUAAUGAAGUCAGUCUUUUAUGGUUAGUAUUUUUUGUCUUCUAUUUAGGACUGUCUUGAGGAAAUUUUCCUGUUUUACUCUAAAAGCUUUAUUGUUUUACACAUUUAGAACUGUGAUAUAUCUCAAAUUAAAUUUUGUAUACCCUGUUUGGUAGGGGUCAAGUUCCAUUUUGUUCCAUAAAAUAUCCACGUGUUCCAAUACCCCUUAUUGCAAAGCUAUUCAUUCCCUUAUAGACUUGCAUUGAUGUCUGUCAUAAACUGGGUCUUUUUCUGACUAUUCUCUUCCAUUGGUCUAUUUGUAUAUCCUGUGCCAAUCCUACACUGUCUUAACUUCUGUAACUUUGUACUAUGUCUUGAAUUCAAAUACGUUCUUCUCAAGCUUGACUGGGUUCUUCUGGUCCUGAUGUUUUUUGAUACCACAAAUUAAUACAUAUUUAUGCCCCCAAUGCAGAUAAGGCCAAUUUUAUGUUAUCAGCAAUCAGUUGAUAGGAAAAAAAAUAUCUAUAUGGUGCUUGAACAAAUAUUUUGAAAAGCCUCAGAUGGCAAAAUCUCACCAAUAGUAUUUUAAGUGUCCAUAGUUCACCUAUUCUCAUUCCUUCAUUCUCCCCAGUCCAAUCAUGUGUGGAAAUGUACCAGUUUUUAAAGUGAGCGUGAAGUUAUUUCUUUAUACCAGGUCCAUAAUGUUCAUUUUGAGAAUAGUGGUAAGAAGUGGAGGGUUAACAAUGAUUAUCUAUGACAAAAGCACAGAAUAAAGGUAUAGGUAACAAACCCCCGGCUUUAUCCCAUGUUUUAUCAUUGACAGCACCAGGAUCUAUUAAUAAUGUAUUGAGAAGCUUUACAUCUAUAUCAGUGGUUCUCAACUGGGUGGGGGGUGAUUUUUACUUCCUGGGGGACAUUUGACAACGUCUGGAACAUUCUUUUGGUCACAACUGGGGCAGGAAGUGGGACAGAGAGGAAGGUGCUUCUGACUUCUAGUGGGUCCAGACCUAGAAUGUUGCUCAACACCCUACACUGCACCAGACAAAAAAGGAUUAUCCAGCCGAAGAUGUCAGUCUGCAGAGAUUAAGAAACCCUGAUCUAGAUGGUCACAUCUUUCUCCAACAGAAAGAUAUUCAGGUCACUUCACAAUCCCCCUGAUUCUCUUGGUUGCGAUACAUAUCCUUUCCCAGCUGAUAUUCCUAAGAAACCAAAGAACUAGGAAGGCGUGAGGGAAGAGACAUUUCUCAGAUCCAUCGAGGAUUGACUUCUGUUUUCCUGCGCAUGGCCACAUGAUCCAAGGCCUCCACUAUUCCUGUGAAACCCACUUCCAUCUCAGGUCCUUGGCCUUGCUGUUCCCUCUGUACUGGACCCUUCUCCUGGGGGAGCCACAGACUUCAUGCAGUUCUCUUCGGAAGUGGCCACUCCUCAGACUCCAUCCCUUGCCACCCUAAUGAAAACAUACCCCUUGUUGGUUUCCACUUCCUUAUUCAGUUGUUUUUUUCUUUGUCGUGUCAUACAUCAAUUACCUGACUUGUGUAUUUUUUGUAUCCUCCAGUAGAAUAUCAAACUCCUAGAGGGCAGGUCUUAGUUUUGUAUUUGCCUGUGUCCUCCGUGCCUAGGACAAUUCCUUGCCAUAAAUAGGGGACAAAUAUAAUAGGUCCCACUGUAUUGAAUCAUGUGGAAGCAAUAAACAAAGUCUGUAUCCACCAGAAGCCAAAGGAGAGAUAAAAUGAUUUUCAUGAUGUCCUUAUCCUGUGCCCACAUGCCAUCUUCUACCCUUGGAGUAACAGUUCAGUCACUCCAGCUCACCAAGAUCAACAAGGAGAUUUUAUCAUCAAGAAGUCAGAAUUCAGGUGCUGUCCUCACAGUGCAAUGAAAACCCACUAAGAGCCCAAAUGGCAACUUUAUGGGAACACUGCUUUCAGCCUCCUUCAUUUUGGAACAAGAAACAGUGCCCCUUCUCUUGGGAGCUCCUUAGUGAGCUGUGACUCCCUUCAUGGCUGAGAGAGAGGGGGCUGGAGGACACAGGCUGAUUAGGAUGUCAGCUGGGGCAAAGGGAAUCAAAGGUCCUUCUUGUAAGCGUUUUUUGUAAGCACCAUAACAUCAGUUCAAGCCUCCUACACGGUGACGGGGGAAAAGCCCAAGGCUGAAUGGUUUAUUUUGUUGUCUUUACUUCAAUAAUAAAAUAUCAAGUAUAUUUUAGUGGAGAGUUUCUGAUAUACCUUUUAGUAUGUCAGGCUUUUAUCCUGGACUCUAUCCUAACUUGUGAGAAGAUGCUUGAGGCUAGUGCCAAGGGCUGGUGAAGGGAGAGACUAUGUGAUUUUUAUCAUUGUCUGGUGAGAAAAAAAAAAAAUUGGUUCUCUUGUGUCAAAACAGAGCGUUUGCUUUGUACGCACUGCAGCUGAGAAAUGGAAAGGAAUGGAAAGAGGAGGUACCAUCGCUAUACAGGAAUUUUCUUCCUUUAAAAUAUUAGAAUCUCUUAUAUAACACAUGGGCUAUUUUUUUCUGAAUAGCACCUGAAUGUGAGAAGUGUCUCUGUGGAGUAAAUAGAGUAAUCUCUGUGCAAUAAAUUGUGUGUCAGCAUCUUCGUUUUCUGGGUGGCAUGAUGGACUUUCAAAGGUCUUUUCUUUUUUUAAAUUUCUCUUCUCAAAGCCAUACACAUUAGA